This 5972-nucleotide long non-coding RNA is filed under the name Lotus japonicus. Its description in RNAcentral is "long non-coding RNA (LJAP_LNC001398)". Lineage: Eukaryota; Viridiplantae; Streptophyta; Magnoliopsida; Fabales; Fabaceae. The record is from RNAcentral.
UGGAAACUACUGUGCCAACAAUUUUCGCCUGGCUGCUAUGUAGUUUUAGGUUCAGAUUUUCCAUCCUGAAAGUACACAUCAUAGUAGUAUUCACUCUAAUUUCAUUUUCCUAUUGAUAAUAAUGAGCCAUCAAAUACCAAUGCAUAGUGUUCACUCCAAUUACUGCAUGUAUAUUUGAGAUUUUCUAAGAAAUUUUUUUUUGAAAGUUUAAAAAAAAUACCACCCAAAUUCUGAAAUAGUAUCAGUCAUCAUAAAUCCUGGACCUAUUUAUUAGAGACAACCCAUAUAUGUGUCACCUGCAUAUUCCAUUCCUGUAAUUUCACGAUCAGUUGUCCAACCUUUAGAUAAGGGUGUGUCGAGAAGUCUCACAAUGACUAAAUAUAUGGUUAAAUAAGUGUUUAUAAAUGAUAAGUAUUUAUAAAUGGUAGAAUAAUCCUCUCCCUAAACUAACUUUUAGGGUAGAAUUAGACUCAACCCAAAUUAGAGAUAUCCAAAAUUAGUUUCUUCAAACACAUAAUUCAUAAGGGUGAAGAGGGGAAACCUGAAAAUUACAGCAAGUGUGAAGGUAAAGGCAGGGACCAGGUCCACCAUAGCUGAGGCCAGUGUGGGAGAGCUAUAUCCAAUUCCAGUGUACAACAAUAUCUGCACUGCAGUACUGCACAGUUACCUCAAGCUCAUCAAAUUUCCCACAUGAAUUCCCCUUUCAAAACUGCCAAAUUCCGAUCAUAGAAGAAUAUAUAUUUGAAUUGUAUACCGUGUAAUAAGGUGUAACUCUGUUCAUACCUGAGGCAAGAAAGAAGAAAUAUUCUGCGGAGAAUUGAGCUUGGAAUUGGUGGAGGAGCUCUCUUCCUGUAUGAUUUUUGAAGGGUAAAAGAAAUCACAAAGAAAUACAAAUUUAUAACACAGGCUUGUGAAAGAAACUUUUCAGUAAUUGGACACACCUGUGGUAGAGGAUGGUGGAUGGUAGAAGGAAACAGAGAGCCAAAAGGUUUGAGUAGACAAUGAAAACAUAGUUGCUCAUUCCACUGUUGGUGGCUGACUUGACUAGAGUGUUCAAGCCUACUUCCAAGAACUGAGUUGCAACCAUUGCUGCUGUUACACUCACUCCUUCACUCACCAUUUCUCUGUCUUUUACUUUUCCCCUAAUUCACUUGUUCUAACUUCUCAACUCUAUAGCUAGCAGAUUGAACUACUGGUUUCCAGAACUAAAACACUUUCACUUUCCUAAUCUUAUAUUAUCUAGCUUUUCAAACUAUUCAAAUAAAGUACGUAUGUCUGGUUAGAAUAUGAGGAUGGCAUCAUAAUAUUGUUUAAUAAUAAUUUAAACUUUUGAUUAGCUAGCUACAUGCAUUACUCAUCCAAGAUUUUUUUUUCUCUUAUCAAUGUUUUACCUUAAGGAAAACUUAAACUCGGGGAACCAACAAAUAAUUUUUCUAAGCAAUCGAACUUAUGUUCUCACUUUUAUAAUUUACUGUUUUAAGAGUCAAUUAUCUUAAAAUCUUAAAUUAUUAGAUUGGAUAAGAGUUACAUGAGUAAUUUCAUAUUUGUAAGAUAUGCAGGAUAAAUGCAUAUCGUUAAUAUUACUAUCUUGGAUUUUGUCCCAAUUCAGAUUCAGUGAUUAAUAAGCAUUCAUGUAUCACACAAACAGCACAGAAAUAUAGGCAAAACAUAACGUCAUGAUCCAUGUCUUGGUAGAAGGAUGGAAGACUUUCUCCCCCAAACCCUCUAGAAGCAACAAAUACUUAAUAAAAGAUACUCCAAGAGGUAUAAAUAUUUACAUAUUUACAUAUGCAUUCAUUCAUGUAUACCAUUUGAAGUCACACUACACACAUGUAAAGAGUAAGGAGUAAACCCUCCGAUCAUUAUUAUAAACAAAAAUCAAAUUUUUAAAUUCGUUUAAUAAAUGAUGUAUCUAGUCUAUAUUAAUGACUAGAUAUAUCAUUUAUUCAAUAAAUCUAAAAUAUUGUUUUUAUGGUGUAUUAAUUUAUAAAGGAGAAGUCUACUCUUUAAUCUUUUUUUUUGUAUAUCGGAAAGAUAAAUUGCACCCGCUAGAAAUCGAACCCUAGACCUCCCCCUACUCAACUCUCAUGUCCUCAUCUUCUACUACUUGAGCUAUCAUACGGGACCUACUCUUUAGUCUUUACAUGUGUGUAGUGUGGCUUCAAAAGAUAUAAAUAUUUUAUUAAAAUGAUGAAUAGUGGACAUCCAUUUGGGCUUAUUGGGCUAUACACCAAGAAUUAUUAAAAUCAGAAAUGAAAAGAAGAGAUAGUUUAAUGUGCCUUCGGGUUUAAUUUAAUGUAGCAUCUUUGACCAAAAAAUAGCAUAAUGUGAUAUGAUAAUGACUACAAAAAUAUACACACGAAACGUAUAAUAUAAUAUAUUGUUCUAACAUUAUAUAUUGUAUAUUGUAAGCUUGAAGUUGGUACACCAAGUCUAACACUGAUAAAACUAAGGAGAGGUUUGGAAAACAUGUCUGGUUAAGAUAUUAAAAUUUUUUUUGUCAAUGAUCUGUAUUUUAUUAGUAUUAAAAGAGUACUUUGGAGUAACGGUGAAGCUAGCAAGAGGAUAUGGGGGUGGUGGGCGAAUAGAGAGGAGUUGCGAUAUCACGUUCGUGGCCCACGGCACAAGAUCCAGGGAUCGAGUUGGAUCAUCAAAACAUUGGGCCGUUGGGGUUUGUAUAGGUUGUGUAAAAUGAAAAUAGUAGGCCCAACUCUUUUAUAUAUAAAUUAGGCCUGUGCAGAAAAAAAAAGGUGUGCAAAAAUGACAUAAACUUGUACGGCUUUGCCCAUUGUCCAUUGAGUUUGUCAGUUUGAUGAGAAAGAAGGAUCUACCUAAUAUGCACCACUUUUUAGUGGUGCAAGGUUGCACCACUAAAAAGUGGUGCAUAUUAGGUGGCACCGAGAAAGAAAGAAGAAGGAAAGAGAUAAAUAGCUAUAUAAAUAGAUAGACACGGUGUUUGUUUCACGGAUUGGAAAAUCAUACCCGGGAAUCUUGUUCCCGGGAAUGUUAUGAUGAGAAUGUUAUUCCCAGACAUUUUUUAAAAAUCCGUUUGGUUCACAAAAUCAGUUUCUGAGAAUCUUUUUUAAUAUUCCUCGGUAUAAUUAUAAUAUAUGUUUGGUUCAAAAUGUAUAUUCCUGGGAAUAGAUAGUAAAAUUCUUAAAAUACCCUUCGCGGUAAAAGACAUGGGUAGUGGGUAGUUGGUAGUGGGUAGUGGGUAGUGACAAUUCAGAGAUUUCACACCAAAAAUCUCAUUCCCUUCUAUUACGUGUGCGGCUUGUUAGCCUUGGAGGUGGCUACGUCCUCUUCCACAGCGGGUUCGACGUUGCAGCCAAAGCUUUGGCGGAAAUUCUGGGCAACCAAUGCAACCAAUGCAUUACCGACGUGGCUUUAUUCCGGUUCGCGACCAGCUCUUCCGCCGCCAUGUAGAUACGGAUCCGGGAUGCUCCCUUUGCGGACACGAGCGAGAGACCAUUGAUCAUAUCUUUUUGAGAUGUCCGGCGGCCAUGGCCAUUUGGUAUGCGUCCCCUCUCUCCUUUAGAGUUGAACAAUUUGCAUCUUUCCAGGUUUUUUGGCACAUUAUUCUCCAGCAGCAUGAAUCUGAGGUGGUGGAGAUGUGUCAGUCUUUGGUGUACAACAUUUGGGAUGUGAGGAAUAGGGUGAUUUUUCGGAGUGGGAGAUUGGUUGUUGGGGAUGUUAUUGAUCGGGCCUUGGGGCUAUUGGCUCCAAUUUCUCCGGCGGUGCGUGAGGAGCGGGGAGGGACCAAAGCGGUGUGGAGGAGGCCACAGGGAAGGGUGGUUAAGCUAAACUUUGAUGCUUCUUUUGUGGAUGGUAUGGGAGCGGGAUUGGGGAUGGUUGCCCGCAACCGUCUUGGGGAGAUCAUGGCUGCUGCGACCUCCCAUCCGGUCCCAGUUCUUUCGUCUCUGUUGGCAGAAGCGAGCGGGUUGAGGUGGACCUUACGGCUGGCAAGAGAGCUUGGUUUUCGUCGUGUCUGUUUAGAGACGGAUUGUCUUCAGUUAUAUCAGUGGUGGCAGAACGGUACAGUGGGAAGAUCUUAUUUGGACACCAUCAUUGGAGAUUGUCGUUCUUUAAUUCCGUUUUUUGAUGUUUUUUCCUUGUCGUUUGUUAGACGUUCUGGUAAUUCAGUUGCAGACUUUCUGGCUAAGAACGCUUCCACUUAUGCGGAUUGUGUAUGGGUGGAAGAGGCUCCUGAUGCCGUUUCUGGUUUGGUUGAUUUGGAUGUAAUUGUUUCUAGGCCGGUUGGCCCUUAAUAUUAUUUCAGUUCACUUUCAAAAAAAAAAACUUACCCACCUCUCCAUCAUGAGAAUGAGAAAUGCUUCUGGAUGGGCAUAUGACUUACCCAGGAAUGAAAGAUACCCUGGUAUAAUUUUUUUCAAAUCUGCUACAAACACUGGAAUGUAGAUUCCGGCCCAAACAUUCCCGAACAUUCCCGGAAAUCCUUUUCCAAUCCGUGAAACAAACGCCCAAUAAGAAGCAAAUAUAUAUAUACUACCAUGUCACAAGUAGCAUUAGUGAGACUUGUUCUUUCCUUGUCAUUCAUUAACAAUUUGCCUGCCAACAAAACAGUGACAUUUCAUUGCUGGACAUGCCAACAGGCAAUUAUUUGAGAAGUUAAUUAUUCAUUAUUAUAUUAACAUUAAUUUGAUACAAAUAAAGGUAUUAGGGUAUAUAUCAAUGUUGCAGCUAUUGCCUAUUUAAGAUGAACAUUAAUAAACUAGUAAUUGAGCAAUCGACCUUAUUGAAAUUUUAUUUUGACUCCCAAAAUUUAUUGUUCAAGAUCCGCCACCUACCCUACAAGAAAGGAGAAUCAUCUAUGCAUCUAUGCCUUUGCUGUAGAUGAGAGGGGCUGAAGAAGAAGAUGAAGCAAAAUCAUUUUCCUCUUGAGCCUGCGCCCAUAUCACACCAUAGAAUCCAAUAGCUAUUAUGACAGCUCCAAUCAGGCUGCACCAACAAUUGUACUAAUGUUAAUCCUGCAGCAUUUAAAUAAACUUUUCAUAAAUCUACUAUUUUUAGAGGUAAUUACCUUCCCAGAUAAAGAAUGUCUCCUAGAAAUAAUACUCCCAAGACAACCGCAAUUACCAUUCCUAAAGGGCUGAACAUAGCUACAUAAAUUGGUCCCUUCUUACGAAACGCCCAUGCAUACACAACACUCCGCAUCGUUACCACAAAAAUUGCCUGCAAAUGAAUCAAUAACCACAAAAUUAAAACAUUCUUACAUAACAUAACCAACUCAUAAUUCAACAUGUCAAAGGUCCUCAUAGUAAAAAUCAGACAUAUAUACUCCUCAGUUUAUUCUUACUGAAUAACACACAGCUACCAACUCUUUAUCAGGUCUGAGAAUCCAAGCUCUUGAAGUUCCCUCUGCAAUUAGACCCACUAUGGCAGAUAGGACCACCACCAUGCUGCAACAAACGGUUGUUACUACUAGCUCUUCAGGAUAUUCCCUCAUAAUCCAAGUCUGUGUAUUGGUGGAAAGCCAAAUUAAAUAAAAUGACUUUUAUUCUAAACUGCAAAGACAGUGUGCAACUGUGCAUUUAAAUUUGGACUAUAUAGUUUGUUUACCUGUACAAUAUACAAUACUGAAACAAUAAAGCAAGCAGUUGCAAGAAGAAAACCACCAAGUAUCCAAUUUGAUUGCACUGAGAGGUAAGUUCCACUUCCUCCCAAUACUAAAUUUUGCAUAGAACCUCUAAUAAUUGGCAUUCCUUGGUAUAAAGUCAAGAUUAAUGCCCCUGCAAUGGAGACAAGUGUACCAACAAUUUUCGCCUGGCUGCUAUGCAGUUUCAGGUUCAGAUUUUCCAUCCUGAAAGUACACAUCACAGUAGUAUCAAUGCACAGUGUUCACUCCAAUUACUUCAUGUAUGGAUCACCAGUAUAUUUCAUUCCUGCGAAUUUUUUUCACGCUCCAAUUGUCCAACCCACGGUAUAAGAGUGUGGUGAGAAGUCUCACAUUG